UACGAAGGUCCCAAGCGUUAUCCGGAUUUAUUGGGUUUAAAGGGUGCGUAGGCGGGCAGGUAAGUCAGUGGUGAAAUCUCCGGGCUUAACCCGGAAACUGCCGUUGAUACUAUCUGUCUUGAAUAUCGUGGAGGUAAGCGGAAUAUGUCAUGUAGCGGUGAAAUGCUUAGAUAUGACAUAGAACACCCAUUGCGAAGGCAGCUUACUACACGAUCAUUGACGCUGAGGCACGAAAGCGUGGGGAGCAAACAGG
Molecule: ribosomal RNA, 253 nt
Filed under: uncultured bacterium
Lineage: Bacteria
Description: partial 16S ribosomal RNA
Rfam family: Bacterial small subunit ribosomal RNA
Source: RNAcentral